RNAcentral lists this ribosomal RNA (468 nucleotides) under uncultured bacterium. Its description in RNAcentral is "partial 16S ribosomal RNA". It matches the Rfam family "Bacterial small subunit ribosomal RNA", at positions 28 to 507 of the family's 1533-position model. The record is from RNAcentral.
GACGAACGCUGGCGGCGUGCUUAACACAUGCAAGUCGAACGGAAAGGCCCUGCUUUUGUGGGGUGCUCGAGUGGCGAACGGGUGAGUAACACGUGAGUAACCUGCCCUUGACUUUGGGAUAACUUCAGGAAACUGGGGCUAAUACCGGAUAGGAGCUCCUGCUGCAUGGUGGGGGUUGGAACGUUUCGGCGGUUGGGGAUGGACUCGCGGCUUAUCAGCUUGUUGGUGGGGUAGUGGCUUACCAAGGCUUUGACGGGUAGCCGGCCUGAGAGGGUGACCGGCCACAUUGGGACUGAGAUACGGCCCAGACUCCUACGGGAGGCAGCAGUGGGGAAUAUUGCACAAUGGGCGGAAGCCUGAUGCAGCAACGCCGCGUGCGGGAUGACGGCCUUCGGGUUGUAAACCGCUUUCGCCUGUGACGAAGCGUGUGUGACGGUAAUGGGUAAAGAAGCACCGGCUAACUACGUG